Molecule: ribosomal RNA, 1472 nt
Filed under: Streptococcus thermophilus
Lineage: Bacteria; Bacillati; Bacillota; Bacilli; Lactobacillales; Streptococcaceae
Description: bacterial SSU rRNA
Rfam family: Bacterial small subunit ribosomal RNA
Source: RNAcentral
ACGAACGCUGGCGGCGUGCCUAAUACAUGCAAGUAGAACGCUGAAGAGAGGAGCUUGCUCUUCUUGGAUGAGUUGCGAACGGGUGAGUAACGCGUAGGUAACCUGCCUUGUAGCGGGGGAUAACUAUUGGAAACGAUAGCUAAUACCGCAUAACAAUGGAUGACACAUGUCAUUUAUUUGAAAGGGGCAAUUGCUCCACUACAAGAUGGACCUGCGUUGUAUUAGCUAGUAGGUGAGGUAAUGGCUCACCUAGGCGACGAUACAUAGCCGACCUGAGAGGGUGAUCGGCCACACUGGGACUGAGACACGGCCCAGACUCCUACGGGAGGCAGCAGUAGGGAAUCUUCGGCAAUGGGGGCAACCCUGACCGAGCAACGCCGCGUGAGUGAAGAAGGUUUUCGGAUCGUAAAGCUCUGUUGUAAGUCAAGAACGGGUGUGAGAGUGGAAAGUUCACACUGUGACGGUAGCUUACCAGAAAGGGACGGCUAACUACGUGCCAGCAGCCGCGGUAAUACGUAGGUCCCGAGCGUUGUCCGGAUUUAUUGGGCGUAAAGCGAGCGCAGGCGGUUUGAUAAGUCUGAAGUUAAAGGCUGUGGCUCAACCAUAGUUCGCUUUGGAAACUGUCAAACUUGAGUGCAGAAGGGGAGAGUGGAAUUCCAUGUGUAGCGGUGAAAUGCGUAGAUAUAUGGAGGAACACCGGUGGCGAAAGCGGCUCUCUGGUCUGUAACUGACGCUGAGGCUCGAAAGCGUGGGGAGCGAACAGGAUUAGAUACCCUGGUAGUCCACGCCGUAAACGAUGAGUGCUAGGUGUUGGAUCCUUUCCGGGAUUCAGUGCCGCAGCUAACGCAUUAAGCACUCCGCCUGGGGAGUACGACCGCAAGGUUGAAACUCAAAGGAAUUGACGGGGGCCCGCACAAGCGGUGGAGCAUGUGGUUUAAUUCGAAGCAACGCGAAGAACCUUACCAGGUCUUGACAUCCCGAUGCUAUUUCUAGAGAUAGAAAGUUACUUCGGUACAUCGGUGACAGGUGGUGCAUGGUUGUCGUCAGCUCGUGUCGUGAGAUGUUGGGUUAAGUCCCGCAACGAGCGCAACCCUUAUUGUUAGUUGCCAUCAUUCAGUUGGGCACUCUAGCGAGACUGCCGGUAAUAAACCGGAGGAAGGUGGGGAUGACGUCAAAUCAUCAUGCCCCUUAUGACCUGGGCUACACACGUGCUACAAUGGUUGGUACAACGAGUUGCGAGUCGGUGACGGCGAGCUAAUCUCUUAAAGCCAAUCUCAGUUCGGAUUGUAGGCUGCAACUCGCCUACAUGAAGUCGGAAUCGCUAGUAAUCGCGGAUCAGCACGCCGCGGUGAAUACGUUCCCGGGCCUUGUACACACCGCCCGUCACACCACGAGAGUUUGUAACACCCGAAGUCGGUGAGGUAACCUUUUGGAGCCAGCCGCCUAAGGUGGGACAGAUGAUUGGGGUGAAG